This is a long non-coding RNA of Gavialis gangeticus (Gharial), 3974 nucleotides long. RefSeq lists it as uncharacterized. NCBI's taxonomy places the organism in Eukaryota, Metazoa, Chordata, Crocodylia, Gavialidae. The transcript has 3 exons. The record is from RefSeq and is a predicted model, not a curated record.
CUUCCACUUGGACACCAUGCUUGAACCUAAUCACUGCUGUAUUCUCCUUAUAAACUGGGCUUGUUAACAGCCACCCGCAAACUGUUUUCAUUAAAACUUCUACAGAAUAAGCAGCCGUGGUGUCAGAAAACCAUUACAGAGAACAUGUUCCCAUGUCAGGCAGGCAAGGAGGGGGGGGGAUGAAAAGCAGUUGUUGCUACAGUCACGUUACAGCUUGGAUUUUUAUGAGAUAGUGUCUGUUCCAUAUGCUAUCGUCUAGUGCCUGUGGGCUCUAAAAGGAACAAAGGGGUCAGGCUUAUAACAAAAGGGGGUGAAGAGAGCUUGCAGGGAGAUGGAGAGCCUGACGCAGUGAACCCCUGACUUCCGAAUGUAGAGCAAGGCCAGGAGGGAGAGACCUUGGGGUGGCAGCAUGAGUUUCUUUGCUCUGAUCCCUCAGGCCAUACAGCAUAAGGAGUCUGAGAGAGAAGAGGGUGUUGCCUACAUGUUCUGUAGCUCAGGGCUUGGGGUUAGGUCUUGUGGGGAGAAAGGUUUGAGGCUGCCCUCAUGCCUUUCUUGCUGGGCAGAGGCAUCUGCUCUGCUCUUUGGAGGCCUUGCUGCUGGGACUGCCAAGCUGCUCCUUUUUCCCAACUCAAGCAUACCUGAGACAAGCUCCUGAGAUCACCUGUCCAGUGGUGCGGCUUCUGUGUGUAAAGCAGCAGGGCCUGGGCUUUGGGAUGGAGAGCCAGGACGCACAAUUCUUGGCCCUGCAUGAAACUGCGGCUUUGAUUGCAUCUGUUUGUGACUGGAUCCAGACAAAAUGCUGCCCUGGAGCUAAGCAGAGACAGAAACUUGGUCCAUUUCCCUAGAAGGCUGCCAGCCCAAGAAGGGGCAGAGCAGAAGAAAGGCCAAAGAGGCUGUGGCCAUAGCCCACUGUUCAGUUGUUGGCCUCCUCAGACCAAGGUCCAGAGUUUAAUACCUUUGUUAGGCUGGGCAGAAGGAGGGACAGACCCUCUGCUUGGCCAUGUGUGGAUUUUAUUUCCCACUCCCUGCUUGGUGCCAUAAAUCUUAGAGGCAAGGAUCUGAAUGCUAAGCAGUGCCCAAGGCCCUGGCAUGUGGAGGGAUAUCUGGGGGUGACCGUAGGGAGGAUAAUGUAGAAGAUGCAAUGUUACUUCGGGCAGAGUGUGGCAAGGCUGCGACCUGGCUUUCCACAGUAGGCAGCUCUUUAAAAGGCAAGGCAAUUUUCAGCAUUGGGAAGGUGGUGCGCUGUGCUCCGAAAUCAUGGGGAGAGCCAGGAUGGAAUGCCUGAAAAGCUGUCUGCGUGGAAUAUCUCUCUCUGCUGUCUGCAAAUCAAAGGUCCAGACAGACAUUUCAUUGUAAAUAGACUCAGAAAGGCACUUGGGGUUUUUUUUAAUACAAAUGGCUGUUGUAUUACAGUGCCAGGAAGGUAAAAAGCCAGCUCAAAAUGCUCAAGCAGCAGGACCCCAAACCCAACAUGGACCACCUGAGCAUAGAGCUGUCCUGCAUAUCUCUGAGGAAUACAACAGUGAGGUACAGCAUAGUUCAGGUCUGCGGUCUCUCCUGUACCUUUUAAAUACUGGACUCUACCACAGUCUCAAUAGGAAAGUUAGAGCUUUCAACACAUGAAUGUUUCAUUGAACUCAGGAUGUUGGCACACAGUUUGUAGUCAGAUCUGUUUGAAAGUUAUUCUCUGCUGCUGAAGUCUCUCUCCUAGGGCUCGGUGUUUCAGCAGACACCAUUCUUGUAGGAACAGGCAGGAAGUGGGGAGGGCUUCUGGUGCUAGCUUCAGGCUGAGAAGACGGGAGUUCACAUCACAUAUUACCUAUGUGAUCUUGGGCAAGUCUCUUGGGUUAGGUCUUAGGCAGUGCCCAGCAUCAGCAGCAGCCUCAGAUGUGCCGCCUUUCUCUUCACGCAUUGCCUCUGGGCACAGAAACAACACAGCUACUUUGCACAGCACCAUGGGUGGGCUAAUUAGCACGGGGGCAUGUAAUGCGCACUGCUUCCAGUUCAGGAAGCAACCCAGGGUGCUGGAGGGCAUGGCCACCUGGCUGCAAAGGUUUGUGGGGUCUCAGUUUCUGUGCCUCAGUUCCUUAUGUGUACUACGAAGAGACCAACACUUCUUUACCUCACACAGCCCAUGUCAGAAUAAAUUAAUAAUUGACAGGUGCUCAGAUACAAACAGCAACAGAGGCCAAGUAAGUGCAAAGAUAGAGAGGAAGGGCUGGUACCUACUCUAGGGCUUUUUUAAAUAGCUAGCUAUCCCUGGGGUGCUGCCUUUCGGCAGACAUUGGCAGCUGUGUGUAACAGCAGAAUCCAAGGGACCUCCGGUGGUCCAAGUUCCCGAAGUCUGGGUGACACCAGUUCUCGGCUAGCACUAAUUCUACCACUGGUCCAGUGCCAACAGUAGCAGUGGUGGGAAAGUGCCAGUGUAGACAGGACGUAGGUGUUUAUACCACUGUGUCAUCUAGACCUGCUGGCUGGAAGGCUGGAUGACAGGGUGGUGAGAGGUCUGUGGCCUGUCUGGCAAUCUCUGCAUCAGUGCUGGAGCAGCGCCAUUGCUAGACAACCAGCGGGAAAAGAGCUGGAGAGCUGUGAUGCGGUUGCAUUCAGUGUUAUGUUGAGGGACAGCAUGCCCUUCUCCAAUCCACUCAGCAUGUACUUAUUCUAAUAACUGCUCCUUGGAGAGAGAGCCCUGCGUUAAGUUUAUAGCUCACAGUCCAAAUCAGUCAGAGAAGGCAGCCAAAACUGCCUCUCUAAAUCCCAUUGCUCCCUCAGGUUUUGCUCAUGAUACAUAUUUAGGGAAAUGAGAAGAAAGUGGUGGUGGAGGGGGAGGGGCCUAAUCCAAUUUAAGGCCCUGGCAUUAGACUAGGUAUGUACUUGGCUUGGAGGCGUUAGCCACAAAUGGGGUCUACAGGAAAGCAUUAGCCUCAGCACUUCCAGAGGAGCUGGUGUUGCGGAGGGCUGGGCAUGGCAAACUAUAAUUAAUAUCUGUAAGGAAUUAGAAAGGAUUUGGAGAGAAAAAUGUCCCUAUUUUAAGUUGAAUAGCAAUUUGAUCUCAAUAUCAUUAAAACUCCACUUUCAAAGGCUGCUGGGUUUUUAUUUCUUUUUUUUUUCUGCUUACAGAAGUCACUCACUGAGUGGAAAGGGAAAAAGAGCUUUUGGAAGCUGUUCACACAGUGCAGACAGAAGCCCAAAAUAAAUGAGACAUGAGUGAAGAAGCAGGGAGGAGAUGAUGGAAGCUGUGAACAUUAACACCUGCCUCCUUGAGUCUAAGAUGCCAGUGAUGGAGUCGGGAGACUCAGCUGUAGAGCUCAUCACUACAGAGCCCUUGGGGCACCUGGGCUGCAGCGCGCUUUCUGUGUGCGCAGAACCUGAGGCAUCUUUGUAGGGCUUUAGAUGCCCUGGGAAAACCCUACUGUUUGCUGGGUGUUCACUUAACGCCAUUUAGGAGCCAGCUUUUAACUCCUUCCUGACAGGAAGGUCAAAUCCCUGUUUGCAGGGCUUCACACACUUCUCUUCCUCCCCAGGGAUCAGGUAUCAGAGGAAUUAGGAAAGAAACAGAAUCUAAAUCCUUCAGUUCCUCCUCAAACUGCUUCUCAUACCACAAGGUGCCUCCAGGUUAAUUCCUUUCCUAGUAUCUCCCCUCCUUUAUCCUUAGAAAGAGGAGAAGAGUGAGAUGGGAUGCCCUGGAGCAAGGCCCUUCUCAUCCUACCAGGAAUUUGGCAUCACGGAUCAUCCUGAUUAGCACCCAGGUUCUUCCAGCUCGCAGGACCAAUCAGCAAUGGCUCCUGUGGCAGACUCUUGUGUUGCCAGAAUUCCCGUGGGCGUCUGAUGUCAUCGGAUGUGGGUUUAGUGAGACGGGUUUGCCGCAGAGGACUGGUUAUUGCAUCUCUGAAAACCACUGAAGGAUUCUGAUACUUCCUGCCAUAAGCCUUGCUUGCUGAAUUUCCUAGUUCCAUUAAACUUGUAUUGCUGCA